GGAGAGUUGUCCGAGCUGGUCGAAGGAGCACGAUUGGAAAUCGUGUAACCGUCAAAAGCGGUUCGUGGGUUCGAAUCCCAUGCUCUCCGCCA
Molecule: transfer RNA, 92 nt
Filed under: Clostridiaceae bacterium
Lineage: Bacteria; Bacillati; Bacillota; Clostridia; Eubacteriales; Clostridiaceae
Also listed under: 2 other names
Description: tRNA-Ser
Rfam family: tRNA
About the family: Transfer RNA (tRNA) molecules are approximately 80 nucleotides in length.
Source: RNAcentral